RNAcentral lists this ribosomal RNA (301 nucleotides) under uncultured bacterium. RNAcentral's name for it is "partial 16S ribosomal RNA". It matches the Rfam family "Bacterial small subunit ribosomal RNA", at positions 509 to 809 of the family's 1533-position model. The record is from RNAcentral.
CAGUCGCCGCGGUAGUACGUAGGUGGCAAGCGUUGACCGGAAUUAUUGGGCGUAAAGGGCUCGCAGGCGGUUUCUUAAGUCUGAUGUGAAAGCCCCCGGCUCAACCGGGGAGGGUCAUUGGAAGCUGGGAAACUUGAGUGCAGAAGAGGAGAGUGGAAUUCCACGUGUAGCGGUGAAAUGCGUAGAGAUGUGGAGGAACACCAGUGGCGAAGGCGACUCUCUGGUCUGUAACUGACGCUGAGGAGCGAAAGCGUGGGGAGCGAACAGGAUUAGAUACCCGAGUAGUCCUGUCUCUUAUACA